CACGUAGGUGACAAGUGUUGUCCGGAUUUACUGGGCGUAAAGAGCGCGCAGGCGGUCGUUCAAGUCGAGUGUGAAAGCCCCCGGCUCAACUGGGGAGGGUCAUUCGAUACUGAUCGACUCGAAGGCAGGAGAGGGAAGUGGAAUUCCCGGUGUAGUGGUGAAAUUCGUAGAUAUUCGGAAGAACACCAGUGGCGAAGGCGACUCGCUGGACAAGUAUUGACGCUGAGGUGCGAAAGCGUGGGGAGCAAACAGG
RNAcentral lists this ribosomal RNA (253 nucleotides) under uncultured bacterium. RNAcentral's name for it is "partial 16S ribosomal RNA". It matches the Rfam family "Bacterial small subunit ribosomal RNA", at positions 524 to 776 of the family's 1533-position model. The record is from RNAcentral.